Molecule: ribosomal RNA, 490 nt
Filed under: uncultured bacterium
Lineage: Bacteria
Description: partial 16S ribosomal RNA
Rfam family: Bacterial small subunit ribosomal RNA
Source: RNAcentral
ACUCAAAUGAAUAGACGGGGACCCGCACAACCAGUGGAGCGUGUGGUUCAAUUUGAGACGAAGCAAAAGACCUCACCAGGAUUUGACAUGUAGCCGUACAUUUCUCUGGAAACAGAGAGAAAUCCGCAAGGAUGGUUACACAGGUGCUGCAUGGCUGUCGUCAGCUCGUGCCGUGAGGUGUUCCAUUAAGUUGGGAAACGAGUGCAACCCCUAUCUUGUGUUAAAUAUUCACAAGAGACUGCCUCAGUUUUACUGAGGAGGAAGGAGGGGCGGACGUCAAGUCCGCAUGGCCCUUAUAUCCUGGGCCACACACACCCUACAAUGGCGAAAAACAACGAGUCGCAAGCCGGUAACGGCAAGCUAAUCUCUGAAAUUUCGCCUCAGUUCAGAUUGGGGUCUGAAACCCGACCCCAUGAAGUCGGAAUUGGUAGUAAUCGCGAAUCAGCAGGUCGCGGUGAAUACGUUCUCGGGUCUUGUACACACCGCCCGU